RNAcentral lists this ribosomal RNA (295 nucleotides) under uncultured bacterium. RNAcentral's name for it is "partial 16S ribosomal RNA". It matches the Rfam family "Bacterial small subunit ribosomal RNA", at positions 775 to 1067 of the family's 1533-position model. The record is from RNAcentral.
GGAUUAGAUACCCUGGUAGUCCACGCCGUAAACGAUGGGCACUAGAUACUGGGCCUAUAGACGGGUUCGGUGUCGAAGUUAACGCAUUAAGUGCCCCGCCUGGGGAGUACGGCCGCAAGGCUGAAACUCAAAGGAAUUGACGGGGGCCCGCACAAGCGGUGGAGCAUGUGGUUUAAUUCGAAGCAACGCGAAGAACCUUACCCAGGCUUGACAUCAUAGUGAAAGCCCCUGGAAACAGGGGCCCUCCUUCGGGACUCUAUGACAGGUGCUGCAUGGCUGUCGUCAGCUCGUGCCG